This 76-nucleotide small RNA is filed under the name Xanthomonas nasturtii. RNAcentral describes it as "sX9 sRNA". It matches the Rfam family "Xanthomonas sRNA sX9". The record is from RNAcentral. Lineage: Bacteria; Pseudomonadati; Pseudomonadota; Gammaproteobacteria; Lysobacterales; Lysobacteraceae.
AUCUAUCGUUCGUGCGCUGCGGUUCCCGUGCGCCGUCCACUUCCGUCUGACGACCGCUCGCUACGUUCUUUCAGCC